Molecule: long non-coding RNA, 1150 nt
Filed under: Macaca fascicularis (crab-eating macaque)
Lineage: Eukaryota; Metazoa; Chordata; Mammalia; Primates; Cercopithecidae
Description: lncRNA (ENSMFAG00000056754.1)
Source: RNAcentral
AGGUGCAAAAAGGAAAGAUUGCAGUUUAUCUUGAAAGGUCUCCUCAUAAAUUAAGACUCUUUAGGCUGCAACUAAUUGCAACCACCAGAGUCAUUUGGUUGAACAAAUGAUUAUUUACGAUGAGGGCUUUCUCUUGGAAUCCAAGAGUGGCUGACUCUGGGUGUAAAGGACAAAUUGGAACCAGACACCUGGAUGUGAUCAAGGCUUCCUCAGUGCCCCCUCAUUCUUACUUGGGUUUUUGUUUUGUUUUGUUUUCUGCAUCUUGGUCCACAAGAUGGAAAAUAGGGUGACCAGCAGUUGCAGAGCUUGUCCUGUCAUCUAGAGAGUGACUCAAGUGACACAAUUGCAAAUUCCUGAGGAAGAGAUUUUGGCCAGGCUACUGGCCAUCCAGGAGGUCAGUCGUAUGCCACAUCGUAUGCCAGUCACACCAAGACCAUGUGGAUGGAGGGAUGCAUUAUGGACAUUCACAUAAAGGUGGUGAGCCGGGAGACCAUCCAAUAGGUGGCCGUUCAAAUCCCAGGAUUUAUUUUAUGUGUGUCUGCUUUUUUACAAGUACUUCUUUGCCUUCCAUGUAAAUAAAGAAAUGGUGUUUUUGAUGACCAGGGAACUUUCAGUUCCUCAGAAUCAUUAUUGAGAACAUCAACUCUCCUUUAUUGACCUACAGAUGUGUCACAUGGAGGGGCACUGCUGACUGUGCUGGUCAUCUCUGAAAAUCAUUUUCCCCAAGUAACACGAGAGGAGUUUGCCCUUUUUAAAAUGAUUUGUUUCUUUCUCCUAAAAUUUGAGUGUGAAGGGAAAUGUGGUCAAUUAACAAUACACAUUUUUGGAAACUGGUUAUUUGAAGCUCCACUGUGCCAGAUUUCAGUUGUUUUCAGCUCUUACAUCCUCCAUAUUUAAUGCUAUCGUUUUUGAAAACGGAUUGACUUCAGAAGUAUUUUUCUCUUGCUUUGGAGAUUUUGCACAUUGGCCCAAACAGGUUUUUAUUUUCCAUUUUAAUUUAUACAGUAUAAAUACGAUGUUGGACUUCUUUGGAGUUAACAGUUUCACUGUGCAGAUGUUUCUUGAAAGCCUUUUCAAUUCAUAGUGUUGGUUUAAAAAAAAAUUUUUUUUUAUUAGCCUGGCUGCCUGCCAGAAAAAAAAAAAAAAAAAA